AUGUCUUUUCUGUUUGUAUGUAUUUAUUACAUGAAGCUGGAACAUGAGUCCUACAGGGAGCUGGAAUAUUAUAUCCCUUUCCUGGGGAAUCGCCGUGUCUGUCCACAUGAUCCAGGAAGUUCUAGGCAUCUGGCAAAAAAGCAGUUAAGAGUACACCACUGUCAGUCAUCUGGAAAUCCUUUCACUUUUAACCUUUCCGUGGCAUUUCACUGCAUGUGGGCUUUUCGUAAACAGCACUUAUGCCGGUGGGCGCUCCUGUCGCUGUCCCCCUCUCGCCUUCCACUCGGAUCCACAGGCACAAGCCCCGAAAGCACUUCCUUUGUGGAUGGCAGGUCCCAGAACAGGGCCAGCCAGUAG
RNAcentral lists this long non-coding RNA (357 nucleotides) under Felis catus (domestic cat). Its description in RNAcentral is "lncRNA (ENSFCAG00000047728.1)". Lineage: Eukaryota; Metazoa; Chordata; Mammalia; Carnivora; Felidae. The record is from RNAcentral.